AAUCAAUCAAACAUUAGUUUGGUAUUGGAAGAAGUGGUUUUGCCUCUCUUCUUAAAGCUAUUGGCGGCACUAUUUCAGCUUGUAAAACGUAGUAAUUUAUUCCUCGUUGAAGCAAUUGAGUAGUUGUCUGCCAACUGAACGAUUUAUUUUAACA
RNAcentral lists this unclassified non-coding RNA (154 nucleotides) under uncultured Ascobolaceae. RNAcentral describes it as "sequence contains ITS2". Lineage: Eukaryota; Fungi; Ascomycota; Pezizomycetes; Pezizales; Ascobolaceae. The record is from RNAcentral.